This 520-nucleotide ribosomal RNA is filed under the name uncultured Glomus. RNAcentral's name for it is "SSU rRNA". It matches the Rfam family "Eukaryotic small subunit ribosomal RNA", at positions 569 to 1092 of the family's 1831-position model. The record is from RNAcentral. Lineage: Eukaryota; Fungi; Glomeromycota; Glomeromycetes; Glomerales; Glomeraceae.
AGCAGCCGCGGUAAUUCCAGCUCCAAUAGCGUAUAUUAAAGUUGUUGCAGUUAAAAAGCUCGUAGUUGAAUUUCGGGGUUAGUAGGUUGGUCAUGCCUCUGGUAUGUACUGGUCUCACUGAUUCCUCCUUCCUGAUGAGCCGUAAUGCCAUUAAUUUGGUGUUGCGGGGAAUUUGGACUGUUACUUUGAAAAAUUAGAGUGUUUAAAGCAAGCUAACGCUUGAAUACAUUAGCAUGGAAUAAUGAAAUAGGACGUUCGAUCCUAUUUUGUUGGUUUCUAGGAUUGACGUAAUGAUUAAUAGGGAUAGUUGGGGGCAUUAGUAUUCAAUUGUCAGAGGUGAAAUUCUUGGAUUUAUUGAAGACUAACUACUGCGAAAGCAUUUGCCAAGGAUGUUUUCAUUAAUCAAGAACGAAAGUUAGGGGAUCGAAGACGAUCAGAUACCGUCGUAGUCUUAACCAUAAACUAUGCCGACUAGGGAUCGGAUGAUGUUAAUUUUUUAAUGACUCAUCGGCGCCUUAAC